Molecule: transfer RNA, 39 nt
Filed under: Phyllodytes brevirostris
Lineage: Eukaryota; Metazoa; Chordata; Amphibia; Anura; Hylidae
Also listed under: 1 other name
Description: partial tRNA-Gln
Source: RNAcentral
AGAGGAUUUUGAUUCCUCAGUUACAGGUUCGACCCCUGU